Non-coding RNA from Pelobates cultripes (western spadefoot toad), 157 nucleotides. The record is from the annotation of a GenBank genome assembly. Lineage: Eukaryota; Metazoa; Chordata; Amphibia; Anura; Pelobatidae.
CAGCAGACACAUUCCAGCCAAUCAGCAGGAGACCCUCCCUCCCAGACCCUCUCACCUCCUGGAUCCAUUUUGAAGCUGCAUUCUUAGUGAGCUGUCCAGGAGGUGGGAGGGCCUGGGAGGGAGGGUCUGCUGCUGAUUGGCUGGAAUGUGUCUGCUG